This 601-nucleotide ribosomal RNA is filed under the name Chitinophaga sp. CRM-Slr-43. RNAcentral describes it as "bacterial SSU rRNA". It matches the Rfam family "Bacterial small subunit ribosomal RNA", at positions 100 to 699 of the family's 1533-position model. The record is from RNAcentral. Lineage: Bacteria; Pseudomonadati; Bacteroidota; Chitinophagia; Chitinophagales; Chitinophagaceae.
AAACGGGUGCGGAACACGUACGCAACCUUCCUUUAAGCGGGGAAUAGCCCAGAGAAAUUUGGAUUAAUACCCCAUAAGAAUGUGGAAAGGCAUCUUUCAGCAUUUAAAGAUUUAUCACUUAAAGAUGGGCGUGCGUCUGAUUAGGUAGUUGGUGAGGUAACGGCUCACCAAGCCGACGAUCAGUAACUGGCGUGAGAGCGCGACCAGUCACACGGGCACUGAGACACGGGCCCGACUCCUACGGGAGGCAGCAGUAAGGAAUAUUGGUCAAUGGACGGAAGUCUGAACCAGCCAUGCCGCGUGGAGGAUGAAGGCCCUCUGGGUUGUAAACUUCUUUUAUCUGGGACGAAACACUUCCUUUCUAGGGAGCUUGACGGUACCAGGUGAAUAAGCACCGGCUAACUCCGUGCCAGCAGCCGCGGUAAUACGGAGGGUGCAAGCGUUAUCCGGAUUCACUGGGUUUAAAGGGUGCGUAGGCGGACAUGUAAGUCCGUGGUGAAAUCUCCGAGCUUAACUCGGAAACUGCCAUGGAUACUAUAUGUCUUGAAUGUUGUGGAGGUUAGCGGAAUAUGUCAUGUAGCGGUGAAAUGCAUAGAUAUGA